This 232-nucleotide ribosomal RNA is filed under the name uncultured bacterium. RNAcentral describes it as "partial 16S ribosomal RNA". It matches the Rfam family "Bacterial small subunit ribosomal RNA", at positions 99 to 334 of the family's 1533-position model. The record is from RNAcentral.
CGGACGGGUGAGUAAUGUCUGGGAAACUGCCCGAUGGAGGGGGGUAACUACUGGAAACGGUAGCUAAUACCGCAUAACGUCGCAAGACCAAAGAGGGGGACCUUAGGGCCUCUUGCCAUCGGAUGUGCCCAGAUGGGAUUAGCUAGUAGGUGGGGUAACGGCUCACCUAGGCGACGAUCCCUAGCUGGUCUGAGAGGAUGACCAGCCACACUGGAACUGAGACACGGUCCAG